This 1321-nucleotide long non-coding RNA is filed under the name Equus caballus (horse). RNAcentral describes it as "lncRNA (ENSECAG00000052780.1)". The record is from RNAcentral. Lineage: Eukaryota; Metazoa; Chordata; Mammalia; Perissodactyla; Equidae.
GGAGAACACUAUGGAAGAGUGUGAAUUCCAGGAGGUGUGGAUCAUUGGAAGCCAUCUUGAAGGCUAGCUAUCAUAAAAACAAAGAAGAUGGGCCACACCUAGCCAGUUUUCUAUAGAUCUUUCUCUCCAGGACCCUGUGUCUCAUUACAGAGAUAAAUACUGGCCUCUCCUUGGUUUCCAUGGAGAACCAACUAUACUACCACAUUCUCUCUUUCUGCUAGAAAAAACUGCCACCGUCUCUUUUCUCCUUCUUAGCCAUGGCCACAGAAUAUCAUUUUUGUCAUUACCUGUGAAUGCUCUCAUGGAUGUCUUGCCUACAUGCUACGCUAUACAACUAAAUCUUUCUAUUUUGUCUUUAGAGGAAAAUCCACUGGUACAGUUAGAAAUUCUACACAUAGCAAAAAAAAAAAAGAAAAGAAAAAGAAAAGUUCCUAAUGGGAAUACUAGCCUAGAUAACAGUGUUUUCCUCAGUGGACCCCUUCUGCAAAGGAGACACUGCUUGUGAAAUACUUGUCUCUGGCAAGAGACAGUGGAAUGUGGAACUCGGAACUCAAUGUGGGAACAAAGAAAUUUUAAAUGGUGUCCUUUUGCCUUCUUCCUUCAACUAGACUUUAAAGAGCUAUGUCUGUAUUGUUCACUAUUAUAUCUUGGAAUUUGUCCAACUGGUUGUUAAACCAUCAGUAUCUUGAAAUCAGCCAUGAUGGAACUAUUUACAGCAUGGAUGCUGGAAAAUGCUACAAAACAGACUUCUCUCCCUACUCAAGAGCCAGUUGUUAAAUAUUUACCGGCACACCACUAGAGGGAACCAAUAGUUGUAAACAAAUAAAACUGUCUAUCAUUGUUUCCUUGGCAACCAGGGGCCUCUAGGAGCCCAACAGUAGCAAUGGAUGAAUAAUACCUAAAAAUUCUUCAAGUGUGGGCUGGACAGUGCUAAGUGCUGUCAUUUAAGGAACCCCAGGUGCAAAGGCUUGGCCUCCCCCAAUCCCACACUGUCAUCUGUCCACCUCCCACACUCACCAAUUGAUGUACACUGUGAAGAUUUCCUGAGCUAGAGCCUGAAGUCAAAGGUAUUUGUGGAUUCCCCCUGGAGACUAUCCCAUCCUAAGGAUGAUGAAAGGAUUAAGGAGAAACCAUCUUGAAAGGAUACCAAUAGGUUUCAGCAGAACUGCCUCCGAAAAACACCAAGUCUGCGUUUCUGCACAAAAUCCGUGGGCAUUUGCCCGCCUGCUUUGUCCUUCCUCUAUUGCUCCCAAUUUCCCUCUCUUGGCCUCCACCCCCACUUCCCCCACCCCACCCCAGAGGGCUGGUUCCAAUUGCAAAG